RNAcentral lists this ribosomal RNA (420 nucleotides) under bacterium. RNAcentral describes it as "partial 16S ribosomal RNA". It matches the Rfam family "Bacterial small subunit ribosomal RNA", at positions 355 to 776 of the family's 1533-position model. The record is from RNAcentral.
UGGGGGAUAUUGCACAAUGGGCGAAAGCCUGAUGCAGCGACGCCGCGUGGGGGAUGAAGGCUUUCGGGUUGUAAACCUCUUUCGCUAUCGAACAAGGCCCGCUUAGGGUGGGUUGAGGGUAGGUGGAGAAGAAGCGCCGGCUAACUACGUGCCAGCAGCCGCGGUAAUACGGAGGGCGCGAGCGUUGUCCGGAAUUAUUGGGCGUAAAGGGCUUGUAGGCGGCUUGUUGCGCCUGCUGUGAAAACGCGGGGCUUAACUUCGCGCGUGCAGUGGGUACGGGCAGGCUUGAGUGUGGUAGGGGUGACUGGAAUUCCAGGUGUAGCGGUGGAAUGCGCAGAUAUCUGGAGGAACACCGAUGGUGAAGGCAGGUCACUGGGCCAUUACUGACGCUGAGGAGCGAAAGCAUGGGUAGCGAACAGG